GUUUCAUGUAGCCUAAUCCACUGUUGCGGGAUUAAAUGAAAUUAUAUAUUCAUCUGGUUUCUAUUAUGAGAUAAUAUUUUCAUACUGGUAAACAUAGAACAUAGAUUGCUACUACACAGUUCCAAAAAAAGAGAAUGAAGCAGACCAUUGUUAGGAUGUCUCUGAAAUCUAACUCAGGAGCUGACCUCAAUGACCCAGUGGUAAAGGAACAGAUGUUGGAGCAGGUCAGUGUGGGUCUGGAUGAAGAGGACCAGUCAUGAUGAUGAUGAAGGAGAAGGAUAGAAGGUCCAAGAGAACUAAAAUAUUCAAGCUUACUAUCUCCACUACAGGGCUCUCCAUGGCAGCCUGGACAGUCUGCAGCCAGACACCACACUGAUCUGCCAGAGAGACUUCCACACUCAUGGUCUGGAAGCAAACCUGCAUUUCAAUUCAUUGUAGUAUUACACCACUAUAACUACUAUUAAUAUUAUUACUAUUAUUAUUACUAUUAUUACUACUUUUCUUCUUAUUAUUAUCUCUAUUAUAUGAUAUUACUUAAUGAUAUUGUACCUACAUAGACUGACUCACAAGCAUUGCAGUUUGACCUAUAAUUUACUGUAAUACUUUAAUUGUUUUAAAAUAGAGUAAAGAAAGGUAAAGUUAAAGUUAUUAACUGAAAAUUUACUAUUUAACUCCUGUGUGAUAUGUACUGUAUCAGAACGCCAUUUAGUUAGAAUGUAAUUAUUGUUAUUUUGUACUUCCUUUCAACUUUGUUCUGAAUAA
Molecule: non-coding RNA, 762 nt
Organism: Oncorhynchus mykiss (rainbow trout)
Lineage: Eukaryota; Metazoa; Chordata; Actinopteri; Salmoniformes; Salmonidae
Source: RefSeq, a predicted model, not a curated record